RNAcentral lists this ribosomal RNA (497 nucleotides) under uncultured bacterium. RNAcentral's name for it is "partial 16S ribosomal RNA". It matches the Rfam family "Bacterial small subunit ribosomal RNA", at positions 28 to 507 of the family's 1533-position model. The record is from RNAcentral.
GAUGAACGCUGGCGGCGUGCCUAAUACAUGCAAGUCGAGCGAACGGACGAGAAGCUUGCUUCUCUGAUGUUAGCGGCGGACGGGUGAGUAACACGUGGAUAACCUACCUAUAAGACUGGGAUAACUUCGGGAAACCGGAGCUAAUACCGGAUAAUAUUUUGAACCGCAUGGUUCAAAAGUGAAAGACGGUCUUGCUGUCACUUAUAGAUGGAUCCGCGCUGCAUUAGCUAGUUGGUAAGGUAACGGCUUACCAAGGCAACGAUGCAUAGCCGACCUGAGAGGGUGAGCGCCCACAUGGGAGGUGAGACACGGUCAAGCCCCCGACGGGAGGCAGAAGGAGGGAUUCGUCCGAAAUGGGAGAAAGCCGGAGGAAGCAACGCGGGGUGAGUGAAGAAGGUUUCCGGAUCGAAAAACUUUUUUAUGGGGGAAAAACAUAUGUGAAAGAAACUUUGCACAUCUGGAGGUUACAAAAAAAAAAAGCCACGGCAAACUCCGUG